AUUUGAACUUUCACUUUUAGAUAGAACACAGAAUAUAGUCACACUCCAGGAUAUCUCCCAUAGAUGCCUAGAUCAAUACUACAUGAAGCCUCUGAAUGGGUUUAAAGCAACAGAACCCACAAAUAUUUAGAGUGGAAGAAAUUUCCAGCACAAGAUAUUUUAGAAGAAUUUCAUAAAAGAUUGCUCUCCAGACUGGUUGGAUUCGUUCACAGCUCCACCAACAAUGUAUCAGUGUCCCAGUUUUCCCGCAUCUCCUCCAACAAUCAUCAUUAUUUUUUCCUGUCAUCUUAACCAAUCUGACAGCAUUUUUAGUUGCAAGCCCAAUUCGUUGACCUUCUCUUUCUCUACUUUAUGCAGGUGAAAUUCACUUAUUUCGUUGAAUGACCAAGAAGAUGCUCAUUCUGGCUGGUGUUUUUAGCUUCUCUGCUGGGCUACUGACUUGCUGCCAGAGCAAAGUAUCCAAUCCUGUAGUGAAGCUCUCCCUGCAGAGAUGGCUGAGAUCACACCCCAACCCCCUCCGGUCUGCUCGGCUGUGAGCUGCCUGCCGAGCUCCUGCUGCCGCUGCCCUCAGCCUGUGCCUGAUCUAAAACCGUCCCGCCCUCGAGUAAAAACAGACCUUUCCUGGCGAAUCUCAAGGAUGUCUUCUCUUGAUAUAUGUCUUGAUUUUCAUCAUCUCAAAUCAACUGAUUGAUAUCAGAUAACAUUGUUAUUAAAAAUAACCAACUUUUGCGAGCCAAGAAGACAAACCAUUCUACCAGACAAGUAUCUGAGUCAAGUAAACCCCAUGUAGGAUCACAGUCAGACUUGUUUGAAAUAAGCAAAUAAUAACAAGGUGUUGCAAUUAUGAAUGCUUUUUUUCCACCAUCAAUAAAAUAACUAACAGCAUACAAAAGCUAUGUUCUGUGGUUAAUAAUAACAAUAAAACCUCUUCUCACAAAAGUAGGAUGUGGACAAAUGAAUGGAGGAGAAAACACAUCUGGACUUAAGUCUUUGUACUACCAUUCAAUGACUCUGAAACCCUUCCUUAAUCACCAGUUUCCUUAUAUAUAAAAUGAAUGUGUAACUUUACAUGAUCUCCAAAGUCACAUUUAGAUCAAAAACCUUGUGAUUCUCAUUGAUUUUCCAAAUAGUAUAUAGAUAUUUUCAGCAAUCAAUCAAUUGCCAGGUUCUGCCUCAGUACCACCUCUAGGGAGCAUUGCCACUAUGUUAAUUUAGUUAUAAAAAAGCAAGGGUCACCAGUCACAGUCCCACAAUUACAAGUGCUUAUGGAUACAAAGAACUUUUUCUCAUGAUUUUGCAAAAGUCUUGCAGAUUCCCAAGCUCCAAUCUGAAGAAAUGAUAAGAUCAAUGCUAAUAACUCAGAUUUUUACAGGGUUUCAAGAUCCCAAGGCAUUUUACCAACAAUAACUUUUGAUGAGUAGGUACAAUAUUAUUAUCCUCCUUUUGCUGAUAAGGAAAGGUCUUCUAAUAAGUAGUGAAUCCCAGAUAAAGCUGAAUUUAUCCAGGAACCCUUUGUCUUUCUACUAUCUCACUUUGGAUGAUCUCAUCAAAUCCACUGAGUUCAGUUAGUCUCUUUGCUUUUUUUAAUUUUUAUUUUCCUUAGUUACAUAUAGAAACAACAUUUUUGAUUAUACAUGAACAUUUUUGCAUAUUUCUUCAUGAAUCAUGUUGGAAGAGAAAAAUCAGAACAAAAGGGGAAAACCAUAAAAUGACAAACAAAGAAGAAAAGAAAUAAGUGAACAUAGCAUGUACUGAUUUAUAUUCAUCUCCAUAAUUCUUUCUUUGUAUUUUGAUGGUGUGUUAAAUCCAACGUUUAUUGGGAUUGCCUUGGCUCCCUGAACCACUGAGAAGAAGCAAGUAUAUUGUAGUUAAUCAUUGCACAGCACAACCUUGGUGUUAUUUGCUUACAAUGUUUACCUAUUUCUGCUUGUUUUGCUUACCAUCAAUUCAUGUUAAUCUUUCCAUGCCUUUAUUAAAUCAUCUUGUUUACUGUUUUUAAUAGAACGAUAAAAUUUCAUUACUUUCAUAUACCAUAACUUAGUCAGCCAAUUCCCAAUUGAUGGGCAUCUACUCAUUUUCAAAUUCUUUGACAUUACAAAAUAGCUGAAUAACCUCUCUUUACAGAAUACUCUCAAAUUUAUACAACUUGCCUUGACCUCUUUCCUAAAUUCAGGCUCCAGAGAUCACCAACUUACCUAAAGUGCAUUUCUAUCUGCAUAUCCAGGAUAUAAUUCAGACUCAAUUUGUUUGAAAUGGAG
Molecule: long non-coding RNA, 2258 nt
Filed under: Sarcophilus harrisii (Tasmanian devil)
Lineage: Eukaryota; Metazoa; Chordata; Mammalia; Dasyuromorphia; Dasyuridae
Description: lncRNA (ENSSHAG00000024877.1)
Source: RNAcentral